RNAcentral lists this ribosomal RNA (441 nucleotides) under uncultured bacterium. RNAcentral describes it as "partial 16S ribosomal RNA". It matches the Rfam family "Bacterial small subunit ribosomal RNA", at positions 338 to 795 of the family's 1533-position model. The record is from RNAcentral.
CCUACGGGUGGCAGCAGUGGGGAAUAUUGCACAAUGGGGGAAACCCUGAUGCAGCAACGCCGCGUGAGCGAUGAAGGCCUUCGGGUCGUAAAGCUCUGUCCUAAGGGAAGAAUAUUGACGGUACCUUAGGAGGAAGCCCCGGCUAACUACGUGCCAGCAGCCGCGGUAAUACGUAGGGGGCUAGCGUUAUCCGGAAUUACUGGGCGUAAAGGGUGCGUAGGCGGUAGGGCAAGUCAGAUGUGAAAGCCCGGGGCUCAACCCCGGGAUUGCAUUUGAAACUGUCUUACUAGAGUGCAGGAGAGGAAAGCGGAAUUCCUAGUGUAGCGGUGAAAUGCGUAGAUAUUGGGAGGAACACCAGUUGCGAAGGCGGCUCUCUGGACUGUAACUGACGCUGAGGCACGAAAGCGUGGGGAGCGAACAGGAUUAGAUACCCUAGUAGUC